UACAAGUACCCGUGAGGGAAAGUUGCAAAGAACUUUGAAGAGAGAGUUCAAGAGGACGUGAAACCGUUUAGAAGGAAACGGGUAGAGCUGCGAGUGGCUCGGGCGAUUCAAACAGUAGUCACGCGUGCGAUCCUUUGUUAGGCCACAUUUGUGGCAAGUCUGCAUUGGUGGUGUGCCGUGAUCUGCUUGUUGCAUUUCGUCCGAGUAGCACCGAGCGGUCGUGUCUGUGUCAACCGUGCGCUAUAGUUGCCGGUGCCGGCCCCGGGUUGGUAACCGCCUAUGGCCCAUAUAACGGUGUGUAUGCGGCACGAUUAGUUGCGAACGCCAAGUGCGUGCGAUUAAUGUCGACGGGCGAUGCACAUAUGUCGGUUAACGUGCUUGCACGGAUGCUGGUGUGUGUCGUUCGUUCGCGUUCGUCCACUUUUAGUUUGCACACGCGGGUGAACAAGUCAGCCACCUACCUGACCCGUCUUGAAACACGGACCAAGGAGUCUAACAUGUGCGCAAGUCGUAGGGUUUUUGAAACCUGAAGGCGAAAUGAAAGUAAAGCGUAGCGACACAGGACUCGGUUGGCUUUGCUCAAUCGAAGCACUGUGGCCCCGUUCCGACUGCUUUGUCAGUGGAGCGGAGGUAGAGCGUACACGUUGGGACCCGAAAGAUGGUGAACUAUGCCUGAGCAGGGCGAAGUCAGAGGAAACUCUGGUGGAGGCUCGAAACGAUUCUGACGUGCAAAUCGAUCGUCAGACUUGGGUAUA
RNAcentral lists this ribosomal RNA (755 nucleotides) under Promonhystera crinita. RNAcentral describes it as "partial large subunit ribosomal RNA". It matches the Rfam family "Eukaryotic large subunit ribosomal RNA", at positions 343 to 919 of the family's 3401-position model. The record is from RNAcentral. Lineage: Eukaryota; Metazoa; Nematoda; Chromadorea; Monhysterida; Xyalidae.